This is a long non-coding RNA of Felis catus (domestic cat), 2704 nucleotides long. RefSeq lists it as uncharacterized. The transcript is spliced from 3 exons. NCBI's taxonomy places the organism in Eukaryota, Metazoa, Chordata, Mammalia, Carnivora, Felidae. The record is from RefSeq and is a predicted model, not a curated record.
CUGUAAUAUUUCUUUUCUCUCCCAAGGGAAAUUAAUGUCUGUUCCUAGCAUUUGUCCCUUAUUUUCUUUGUGAAAACUGAGACAAGGAAGCAAGGAAUUAAUUUAAUAUUUUAGCAAUAUCUAUUUCAUUGGUCGAUAAUUUAUUCUUAUAAUUUUUACUCUGCAGGCUUCUUCAGAGUGACCUCUGGUCCUUUAUAUGCUUGAAACACAUUGUCUAUAAUAUUUUGACCUCCUGUGAUAUUUUUCAUUCAUUCCUCACUCUGGCUUUCCCUUUCAUUCUGCACUUGUGACUGUGCCCUUUGUCUCUUUCCUGCAGUUCCUCAUAACCAAUAUUUUAUACUUCAUAUCUGAGCUGCUCAUAUACUUGAUUACUUUUUACAAAUCAUUUUUCAUCCAUAUUGGAUUUUUUUUUAAUUUCUGUGAUAUUUACUUUUAGGUUACACAUAAACACAAUCCUUUGGGAACACUGAACAUUAAUUUACUUUGGAACAUGCCCCAAUUUUUCUUCUUCUUUUUUUUAUUCUACAUAAUAAAUAAAUAAACAUCUCACCACUUUUUUUAAUCCCAGAUAUGAUACUGCAGGUUACUAAUACCUUAUUUUCUCCUUUAUCGACUCCUUUAUUCCCUCAUUAGUCUCAAGAUAUUCCUCAGCAUUAAUUUUUUAUUUUAUACUUAUGUGUAAGCAUCUUAGGACAUUGCUCUAUCUUGUGUAUAAACAAAAGUUAACACAUUAAAUGUGUUCCUAUAUUUGGACUUCUCUUUUAGCUAUAUAUCAUAGUUGAUAUUCACAUAAUACAAAAGAAAUAUGUGUAUGGCUAUGAGUCAUCUGUCACAGGUUAGUUUUUUAUUUCAGAUAUUUUAUAUUUUCUUGUUAUUUUCAAUAUUUCUGAAAUGAAAUUAUUGAACAUAAUUAAUUGUAUCUAAUUCUAAAAUAUUCCUGGUAUUUUUUUCAGUUAAAUUAUUUACUUUGAGACCAUUGUGGAUUUUUGUGUCUUUCGUAUAUAAAUAGCCUCUGCCAUAAUUUCCAUUCUGUCAUAUUUUCUGCUUGAUAUAGCUUAUUUGUUCAUUUAGUGUAUGUUUAUGGAGACUCAUUUACAUGUCAGAUAUUGUAAGACUGUGGCUACAGUGGACAAAUAGGCAUGGUCUCUUUCUUCAUGGAUAUCAAAAUCCAGUAAAUGUCUGUAAAAUGAUAUACCAUUGAAAUUUGCAAUAAAUGUUUUGGCUGUAAAGUAAAGGGUAUACUCUGAAAGACUCAUGGAAAAAUUUGAUUUGAGUUCUGAGGAAGAGGUCAGAAAGUUUUCUCUGAAGAAAUUAUCUUUAAGCUGAGAUUGAAAGCAACAGUAACAGUUACCUACUUGAAUUAACUUGGGUUCCUCUCAAAACUGGAAAUUGUGAGAGAUUAUUCCAAGGAUCAGGAAUUUUCAAAGACCAGGGAGAAGGCCUUGAUAUUAGCAUAAUGCUGACCUCAUUGAGUGAGGUAGGAAAUGUCUAAUGUGCUUAGAUUUUUCUGGAAAAGAUUGAGUUGAAUUGGUAUUAUAUCUUACCUAAAUGUAUGCUAGAACUCACCAGUGAAACCAUAUGAGGCUAGUAUUUUCUUUUAUAGAAGGUCACCAAUUAUUCAAUAUCUUUAAUAAAUUUAGACCUGUUCAUAUUAUCUUAUUAAUCCUUUUGCAAGUUUUGGUAGAUUUUGUCCUCUAGGAAUUGGCUUCAUUUCAUCUAUAUUACCAUAUUGGUGGGCAUAGCAUUGUUCAUGGCAUUUCUUUUUUAAUAGAACUUAAGAGAGUUGAGUUAUUGAGUGUCAGAGUAGUCAAGACAAGCCAAAAUGAAAGUACAAUAAAAGCCAAGCCUUUAAUCACUUGCUGUGAUAAUAUAAGGGGAGGUUAAACCCGAGAAAGUGUCAACUCCUCCCCAUCCCACCUUCCAAUUUUCUCCUUGGAAUGGUGCUAGAUAAGGAUCAGGUGGAUUAGUACACAGGUGGGAAUUGUCUCAAUGCCAACGGUGCUCCUGACAAAAGACUCCUUCAGUAUUCUGGGUCACACGGACUGGGAGGGGAAGUGAGAGGAAGCCUCAGAGUAUGAAAGCACUUAAUACUGAGUCUUUGAGAAGAGAAGAUUGUCUUUAAGGCCCCAUUCCCCAUAAGGGGGAGUUGGGAGUCUUGGUAGAGGCACCAGAGGAAAGCCUCAGCUGAAAGGCUUUGAAAAAGUGGCCUCUGAAGUGAGGCACCUGAGCUAGAAAGUAACUAUAUAUAAGACCAUGGGCCAGUCAGAGCAGUCCGAGUCUUUGAAUGCACUAAUUUCCUUUUGACACAGCAACGUAUGGGCUGUGUGCUAAGUCAGCUUGGGGAGGACGGCUUUCCGCAGUGAGGCUUGCCAGAGUUGAUAAACUUUGAUCAGCCUGAAUCCUUGAAUGGCUACAUGGAUCAGACCCCGCUGGACAUAUAGGCAUGGUAACCCUGAUGGUGAAGAAGACUUGGAAGUUUUACUUGGAAAGGGGACUUCUCUUCUGCAAAUCAGUACUUCAGCUGGGGAGAUGACCCACUUGUUCACUUCAGUAAUCAAGCGUUCUCUUUUGAAAUUGAGCAUUUCUCUUGGCAACAACAGAACACAGGGUGCUGAUAUGCCAAGAUUUGAUGGGUUAAUUAGGCUUGUGUAGACCAGUUUGCCACCCAACCAGAAUUUAUAAAAUUGAUUUCAUGGGUAAAACA